GGGGGGUCUUUUCUACUUUCACAGAUAAAAUGUAGAUAACCAGGGGCAAGUAUUUACAAGAGACAAUGUCCAGUGACAAAUAUUUCAUUCCUAUUUAGAAGAGAAAGCCCCCUUUUUUUCGGCCUUGCAUAAACCCCCUUAAAAAAACUUGCAUGCUCCUUUAUCAUGUUAACUCCAUUAUUUAUUGGAGCAACAGAAUUUACGUGUUUUGAGAAUUUAGUUUAUUU
Molecule: long non-coding RNA, 227 nt
Filed under: Mytilus galloprovincialis (Mediterranean mussel)
Lineage: Eukaryota; Metazoa; Mollusca; Bivalvia; Mytilida; Mytilidae
Source: RNAcentral